GUGCUAAGGUAGCAUAAUCAUUUGUUUCUUAAUUGGUAACUGGAAUGAACGGUUGAGCUGGUUUGAUAAGUGUGUAUGUUUAAAUAGAAAAUUAAAGUCAAGGUAAGAAUUCUUUGAUAAUUUAGGGGACGAUAAGACCCUAUAAGCUUGAUAAAUGUAUUGUGGGUUUGUUUUUUAAGUUAGUUUGUUUUACUGGGGUGGUACUGAUGGUUUAACUAUUAGUUAACUUAAGAUCCUAAAAAUAUAGAUGGUGCGGAAAAGUUACUUUAGGGAUAACAGUGCAAUAUUUUUGGUGAGGUCUUAUCUAUAAAUAUGUUUGCAACCUCGAUGUUGAAUUA
This 338-nucleotide ribosomal RNA is filed under the name Garjajewia cabanisii. Its description in RNAcentral is "partial 16S ribosomal RNA". Lineage: Eukaryota; Metazoa; Arthropoda; Malacostraca; Amphipoda; Acanthogammaridae. The record is from RNAcentral.